Molecule: non-coding RNA, 58 nt
Filed under: unclassified sequences
Description: Li+-I sequence
Rfam family: nhaA-I RNA
About the family: Acidobacteria, Alphaproteobacteria, Betaproteobacteria and Gammaproteobacteria, Verrucomicrobia, cand. division NC10. Downstream gene
Source: Rfam by way of RNAcentral
UGGUCCGGAGAUGCGUAAGUAUUUCCGGAGGUGAUUUUAGAUGGUCGGGCCGCCAUCU